GAAAGUAAAGAAGGGCGCAUGGCGGAUGCCUUGGCUCUCGGAGGCGAUGAAGGACGUGAUAAGCUGCGAUAAGCUUUGGGGAGGUGCAAAUGACCUUUGAUCCAGAGAUUUCCGAAUGGGACAACCCAAUAUCUUGAAGAGGUAUUAUCUUACUAUGUAAGAGGCUAACGCAGGGAACUGAAACAUCUUAGUACCUGCAGGAAAAGAAAAUAAACAAUGAUUCCCCCAGUAGUGGCGAGCGAACGGGGAACAGCCCAAACCAUCCAUGUUACGGCAUGGGUGGGGUUGUAGGACUACGCCGUUGCAUGAAGACAUCAGAGAAGAACUUUCUGGAAAGAAAGACCAUAGAGCAUGACAGUUGCGUAUUCGAAUGUUGUCGAAGCAUAGUAGUAUCCUGAGUAGCGCGGAGCACGAGGAAUUCUGCGUGAAUCUGCCGGGACCAUCCGGUAAGGCUAAAUACUCCCGAGAGACCGAUAGCGAACCAGUACCGUGAGGGAAAGGUGAAAAGCACUUCGAACAGAAGAGUGAAAUAGUUCCUGAAACCGUGCGCCUACAAGCGGUCGGAGCUCGUUAAUGAGUGACGGCGUGCCUUUUGCAUAAUGAACCUACGAGUUGCCUUUGCCGGCAAGGUUAAGUGUGACGACACACGUAUCCGAAGCGAAAGCGAGUCUGAACAGGGCGUAUAGUCGGCAGUGGCAGACGCGAAACCAAGUGAUCUACCCUUGGCCAGGUUGAAGGCUGGGUAACACCAGCUGGAGGACCGCACCAAUAAGCGUUGAAAAGCUUCUGGAUGAGCUGAGGGUAGGGGUGAAAGGCUAAUCAAACUUGGAGAUAGCUCGUACUCCCCGAAAUGCAUUUAGGUGCAGCCUUGCGGGUUACUGAUGUGAGGUAGAGCGACUGAUAAGAUGCGAGGGCUUCACCGCCUAUCAAGUCUUGACAAACUCCGAAUGCGCAUCAGUUCUACCGCAGGAGUGAGGGCAUGGGUGCUAAGGUCCGUGCCCGAGAGGAGAAGAAUCCGGACCACCUGCUAAGGUCCCGAAAUGACAGCUAAGUUAAACUAACGAAGUCUGACUGCUAAGACAGCUAGGAUGUUGGCUUGGAAGCAGCCAUUCAUUUAAAGAGUGCGUAACAGCUCACUAGUCGAGGAGUCGGGCGUGGAUAAUAAUCGGGUAUCAAGUUGUCUACCGAAGCAGUGGGAUCAUUAAUAUGAUCGGUAGGGGAGCAUUCCAGUCAGCGUCGAAGGCGUACCGUGAGGUAUUCUGGAGCGUCUGGAAAAGCAAAUGUAGGUAUAAGUAACGAUAAAGGGGGCGGGAAACCCCCUCGCCGAAAGACUAAGGUUUCCUGAUCAACGCUAAUCGGAUCAGGGUCAGUCGGGUCCUAAGGCUCAGCCGAACGGCGAUGCCGAUGGCAGAAACGGUUAAUAUUCCGUUACUACCUUCAGGAGUGACGUGGAGACGCAGUAGUGACAGUGCCGCCAUCUGACGGAAUAGAUGGUUGAAGGGUGUAGGAGUCGAUCAUGGCAGGCAAAUCCACCAUGAGAUCCGAACCUGACAGUAUGCCGCGUCCUUCGGGACAAGGCAAUAGUGCGCGUAAGCAUGCUGCCGAGAAAAUCCGCUAAACUUAAUCCUGUAGGUACCCGUACCGCAAACGGACACACGUAGUCGGGAUGAAUAUUCUAAGGCGCUUGAGUGAUUCACGGUUAAGGAACUAGGCAAACUGACCCUGUAACUUCGGGAUAAAGGGUCCCUACCCUUUUAUGGGAGGGCGCAGAGAAUCGGUCCAGGCAACUGUUUAACAAAAACACAGGGCUGUGCCAAAUCGAAAGAUCCAGUAUACAGCCUGACACCUGCCCGGUGCUGGAAGGUUAAGAGGAGAUGUCAUCGAUAAGAGAAGCGUUGAAUUGAAGCCCCAGUAAACGGCGGCCGUAACUAUAACGGUCCUAAGGUAGCGAAAUUCCUUGUCGGGU
Molecule: ribosomal RNA, 1966 nt
Filed under: human gut metagenome
Description: bacterial LSU rRNA
Rfam family: Bacterial large subunit ribosomal RNA
Source: RNAcentral